Molecule: non-coding RNA, 1749 nt
Organism: Nelumbo nucifera (sacred lotus)
Lineage: Eukaryota; Viridiplantae; Streptophyta; Magnoliopsida; Proteales; Nelumbonaceae
Source: RefSeq, a predicted model, not a curated record
CUCUAUUUUAAUAUAAGCCCUACUACUCCUCCUUCAAAGUUCAAACCCAUCCCCGUUUCGCGUCUGAAAUCCAUAUGUCCCUCUCCUCGUUCUAUCCCUAUUUUCUUCUUUAACGUCUAUCCCUACUACCGAAGCUACCAGACAACCAACCCCCAUCUCCACUCAGAAGAAGGCAUAUCAAGAUGAAGUUAUUAGAUUGGAUGCACCGUAAGUUCCGGCAAUAUAAUAACGAACCAAGCAAGGAUUUUAUAAUCGGUCGCUCUUGUUAUUGUCUUUCAGGGCAGCCUUCUUCACCCGACGACGAACCACAAUACUACUACCACACAAAACCAGGUUACAACGGAUCUCGAUCAUCAUCAAACCAGAUGUCUCAGAAAGAGCGGAUCCGCCGGAAAUCUUUCGCUGGAUCGGAAACAACAGUGGUCGAUGAAGACUUGGAAGCAGCAGCAGCGGCCGAACGCUUUGAUGGACUCCUCACAAUCGGGACUUUUGGUUCAGACCCUGUCCUCGCUGACCCCACAACGUCUGUUUUCACCUUCUCCGUUGAGAAUAUAACUGAAAAAGAAACUGAGGUGACGGAGAGUGAUCUCAAGCUCAUCAACGAAGAGUUAGAGAAAGUCCUUGUGACCGAAGUAAAGGAAGAUGGAUGCAAUUUGUCAUCUGGGAGGAGCAGUCAUGUUAGUACUAAAACAACCGAGAACAACGGGAACAGCACAAUGGCAAUCUGCCCACUUCAAGAAUAUCUAUUUGGUUCUCCUAUCAAGAUUCCAGAAACGACUAUGGUGGCCAAAAAACAACAUAGGAUGUCACUCAGCGAGCUUUUUCAUAGGAGUAAAACGACAGGUAACUCAGCGUCAGAUGCAAAAUGUGAAAGGAAGGCGAAGCGAGCAGAGAAGGAAGCUAUAGCCGAGAAAUGUGGCAGUACUAGCAGUCAUCAUCUCAUGACGAAAAUUCUUAAGCGACGGACAUCUAAUACGUGUUCUAGGAACCCUGCCACUGCUGUUGCUGCUGCCUCUGAUCCUGUUUCAGCGGAGAAGAAAACCCACAAGGUGCGUACAUUUACUUCUUUACUACUGGUCCUGGACCUUCCCGUUCCCGUACCCGGGGGUGGUGGUAAUUCUUACUUUCUGAGGAAUAAUGGACCUCCCCGUCCGGCCGUCCCUUGGACCUUGGUAGCAGUUGCACUGACGGGGGACCUUGGAAAUCAACAAUGAUAUAUAACCUAUCAAAUCAGAAAGUACAGGGGAGGAGGUUUCACAAUUCACUUUCACAUUCAGUCAGUCUAUGCGCCAAUCGCCAUUAGCCCGUGCAUAGUUGACUCGUCGAGGGUGGGUUCCUGGGUGGAUCGAUCAUUUGGGUACACGUCAUGUCUUCUCAAAGAAACCAUCAUUGUGUGAGCAACGCUAGUUGCUUCUUGCUUAUACGAGUUAGUUGGGUUGGGUCAAACAGCAUAUUGGGCGGGCCCCACAUAGCGUAUUAUCAGAUCACGGUAUCGUUCAGCCGGCUCGGCUAGUUGAGAUCAAUUCAAUCCCCCACAACGACCCACGGCACAUCACAUUUCCCGAUGAUAUACCAGAAAUGAAGAUGAUCCGAAGAUGUUCCACAGAAGGAUUGAGCCAACCCGUAAGGACAGCACUCAACUCCCCACCAAGUACCAUGUACCAACAUCCCCCUGGGGCCUGGGCUGGAAAUCUCAUAUUCCUAUAUAUCCUACAGAUGUUCCACAGAAGAGUUCAUCCUGAAAGCUCG